AGAGCGAACGCUGGCGGCAGGCUUAACACAUGCAAGUCGAGCGGGCGUAGCAAUACGUCAGCGGCAGACGGGUGAGUAACGCGUGGGAACGUACCUUUUGGUUCGGAACAACACAGGGAAACUUGUGCUAAUACCGGAUAAGCCCUUACGGGGAAAGAUUUAUCGCCGAAAGAUCGGCCCGCGUCUGAUUAGCUAGUUGGUGAGGUAAUGGCUCACCAAGGCGACGAUCAGUAGCUGGUCUGAGAGGAUGAUCAGCCACAUUGGGACUGAGACACGGCCCAAAACUCCUACGGGAGGCAGCAGUGGGGAAUAUUGGACAAUGGGCGCAAGCCUGAUCCAGCCAUGCCGCGUGAGUGAUGAAGGCCCUAGGGUUGUAAAGCUCUUUUGUGCGGGAAGAUAAUGACGGUACCGCAAGAAUAAGCCCCGGCUAACUUCGUGCCAGCAGCCGC
This 449-nucleotide ribosomal RNA is filed under the name uncultured bacterium. RNAcentral's name for it is "SSU rRNA". It matches the Rfam family "Bacterial small subunit ribosomal RNA", at positions 26 to 518 of the family's 1533-position model. The record is from RNAcentral.